RNAcentral lists this ribosomal RNA (468 nucleotides) under uncultured bacterium. Its description in RNAcentral is "partial 16S ribosomal RNA". It matches the Rfam family "Bacterial small subunit ribosomal RNA", at positions 28 to 507 of the family's 1533-position model. The record is from RNAcentral.
GACGAACGCUGGCGGCGUGCUUAACACAUGCAAGUCGAACGGAAAGGCCCUGCUUUUGUGGGGUGCUCGAGUGGCGAACGGGUGAGUAACACGUGAGUAACCUGCCCUUGACUUUGGGAUAACUUCAGGAAACUGGGGCUAAUACCGGAUAGGAGCUCCUGCUGCAUGGUGGGGGUUGGAAAGUUUCGGCGGUGGGGGAUGGACUCGCGGCUUAUCAGCUUGUUGGUGGGGUAGUGGCUUACCAAGGCUUUGACGGGUAGCCGGCCUGAGAGGGUGACCGGCCACAUUGCGACUGAGGUACGGCCCAGACUCCUACGGGAGGCAGCAGUGGGGAAUAUUGCACAAUGGGCGGACGCCUGAUGCAGCAACGCCGCGUGCGGGAUGACGGCCUUCGGGUUGUAAACCGCUUUCGCCUGUGACGAAGCGUGAGUGACGGUAAUGGGUAAAGAAGCACCGGCUAACUACGUG